Molecule: ribosomal RNA, 292 nt
Filed under: uncultured bacterium
Lineage: Bacteria
Description: partial 16S ribosomal RNA
Source: RNAcentral
GGACUACUAGGGUAUCUAAUCCUGUUUGCUCCCCACGCUUUCGCGCCUCAGUGUCAGUAUCAGUCCAGGUAGCCGCCUUCGCCACUGGUGUUCCUUCCGAUCUCUACGCAUUUCACCGCUACACCGGAAAUUCCUCUACCCUCUACCGUACUCCAGUCGUCCAGUCCUAAAUGCCAUUCCCAGGUUAAGCCCAGGGCUUUCACAUCCAGCUUAAACAACCACCUACGCGCCCUUUACGCCCAGUAACUCCGAUUAACGCUCGCACCCUCUGUAUUACCGCGGCUGCUGGCAC